This 693-nucleotide ribosomal RNA is filed under the name Halomonas sp. Its description in RNAcentral is "bacterial SSU rRNA". It matches the Rfam family "Bacterial small subunit ribosomal RNA", at positions 57 to 748 of the family's 1533-position model. The record is from RNAcentral. Lineage: Bacteria; Pseudomonadati; Pseudomonadota; Gammaproteobacteria; Oceanospirillales; Halomonadaceae.
GCAGUCGAGCGGUAACAGAUCCAGCUUGCUGGAUGCUGACGAGCGGCGGACGGGUGAGUAAUGCAUAGGAAUCUGCCCGAUAGUGGGGGAUAACCUGGGGAAACCCAGGCUAAUACCGCAUACGUCCUACGGGAGAAAGGGGGCUCCGGCUCCCGCUAUGGGAUGAGCCUAUGUCGGAUUAGCUAGUUGGUGAGGUAACGGCUCACCAAGGCCACGAUCCGUAGCUGGUCUGAGAGGAUGAUCAGCCACAUCGGGACUGAGACACGGCCCGAACUCCUACGGGAGGCAGCAGUGGGGAAUAUUGGACAAUGGGGGAAACCCUGAUCCAGCCAUGCCGCGUGUGUGAAGAAGGCCCUCGGGUUGUAAAGCACUUUCAGCGAGGAAGAACGCCUAGCGGUUAAUACCCGCUAGGAAAGACAUCACUCGCAGAAGAAGCACCGGCUAACUCCGUGCCAGCAGCCGCGGUAAUACGGAGGGUGCAAGCGUUAAUCGGAAUUACUGGGCGUAAAGCGCGCGUAGGUGGCUUGAUAAGCCGGUUGUGAAAGCCCCGGGCUCAACCUGGGAACGGCAUCCGGAACUGUCAAGCUAGAGUGCAGGAUAGGAAGGUAGAAUUCCCGGUGUAGCGGUGAAAUGCGUACAGAUCGGGAGGAAUACCAGUGGCGAAGGCGGCCUUCUGGACUGACACUGACACUG